Molecule: unclassified non-coding RNA, 253 nt
Filed under: Hevea brasiliensis (rubber tree)
Lineage: Eukaryota; Viridiplantae; Streptophyta; Magnoliopsida; Malpighiales; Euphorbiaceae
Source: RNAcentral
CAUGAAUGGUAUCAGAGCAGAGUAGCCACUUUGCCAAAUUUAACUUCACUGAAUAAGUAUCAUGCUACAGAGUCUGCUUCUCCGUGCUUCUAAUUCUAUCUCGCUACCGUUGCCUAACCGUCACCAACUCUCUCCGUCUCCAAAACCAUUCUCUGCUUGGAUAGACGCAGCUCCCUCUGCUGGACAAUCGCCCUCCAAUUAUCGAUCUGCACUCCCUUCUCUCCGCUGUACUGCUGUUGGUGGAGGAAGUGAG